This 431-nucleotide ribosomal RNA is filed under the name uncultured bacterium. RNAcentral describes it as "bacterial SSU rRNA". It matches the Rfam family "Bacterial small subunit ribosomal RNA", at positions 957 to 1392 of the family's 1533-position model. The record is from RNAcentral.
UAACGCGAAGAACCUUACCAAGGCUUGACAUAUAGAGGAAAAGUGCAGAAAUGCACUCCCCGCAAGGUCUCUAUACAGGUGGUGCAUGGUUGUCGUCAGCUCGUGUCGUGAGAUGUUGGGUUAAGUCCGGCAACGAGCGCAACCCACACUCUUAGUUGCCAGCUUAAUAUGACUCACUAUAGGGGAACUGCCGAUGAUAAGUCGGAGGAAGGCGUGGAUGACGUCAAGUCCUCAUGGCCCUUACGGGCAGGGCUACACACAUGCUACAAUGGGUAGUACAGAGAGUCGAUAAGCCGCGAGGUGGCGCUAAUCUCACAAAGCUAUUCGUAGUCCGGAUUGGAGUCUGCAACUUGACUCCAUGAAGUAGGAAUCGCUAGUAAUCGGAUAUCAGCAUGACGCGGUGAAUACGUUCCCGGGUCUUGUACACACCG